CAGCAGCCGCCACGGUAAUACGUAGGGUCCGAGCGUUGUCCGGAAUUAUUGGGCGUAAAGGGCUCGUAGGCGGUUUGUCGCGUCGGGAGUGAAAACCAGCAGCUUAACUGCUGGCCUGCUUUCGAUACGGGCAGACUUGAGGCAUUCAGGGGAGAACGGAAUUCCUGGUGUAGCGGUGAAAUGCGCAGAUAUCAGGAGGAACACCGGUGGCGAAGGCGGUUCUCUGGGAAUGUUCUGACGCUGAGGAGCGAAAGUGUGGGGAGCGAACAGGAUUAGAGACCCCGGUAGUCCCUGUCUCUUAUAC
This 304-nucleotide ribosomal RNA is filed under the name uncultured bacterium. RNAcentral's name for it is "partial 16S ribosomal RNA". It matches the Rfam family "Bacterial small subunit ribosomal RNA", at positions 509 to 807 of the family's 1533-position model. The record is from RNAcentral.